GGGCCGGUAGAUCAGUCCGGAAAAUAUUUGGACAAUAGAUCGCGCGCUCGGCAUGCGCGAGGCCGUGGGUUCGAAUCCCGCCCGGUCCA
RNAcentral lists this transfer RNA (89 nucleotides) under Candidatus Woesearchaeota archaeon. RNAcentral's name for it is "tRNA-Ala". It matches the Rfam family "tRNA". From Rfam's summary of the family: Transfer RNA (tRNA) molecules are approximately 80 nucleotides in length. Their secondary structure includes four short double-helical elements and three loops (D, anti-codon, and T loops). Further hydrogen bonds mediate the characteristic L-shaped molecular structure. tRNAs have two regions of fundamental functional importance: the anti-codon, which is responsible for specific mRNA codon recognition, and the 3' end, to which the tRNAs corresponding amino acid is attached (by aminoacyl-tRNA synthetases). tRNAs cope with the degeneracy of the genetic code in two manners: having more than one tRNA (with a specific anti-codon) for a particular amino acid; and 'wobble' base-pairing, i.e. permitting non-standard base-pairing at the 3rd anti-codon position. Lineage: Archaea; Nanobdellati; Candidatus Woesearchaeota. The record is from RNAcentral.